GACGAACGCUGGCGGCGUGCUUAACACAUGCAAGUCGAACGGACUUAUCUUAUGAAGCUUGCUUCGCGAGAUAAGUUAGUGGCGGACGGGUGAGUAACGCGUGGGUAACCUGCCGUAUGCUGGGGGACAACAGUUGGAAACGACUGCUAAUACCGCAUAAGCGCACAGUUUCGCAUGGAACGGUGUGAAAAACUCCGGUGGCAUACGAUGGACCCGCGUCUGAUUAGCUAGUUGGUGAGGUAACGGCCCACCAAGGCGACGAUCAGUAGCCGGCCUGAGAGGGUGAACGGCCACAUUGGGACUGAGACACGGCCCAA
This 317-nucleotide ribosomal RNA is filed under the name uncultured bacterium. Its description in RNAcentral is "bacterial SSU rRNA". It matches the Rfam family "Bacterial small subunit ribosomal RNA", at positions 28 to 334 of the family's 1533-position model. The record is from RNAcentral.